GACAUAUUGUUCUAUAAAGAAUCUACGAAAUGAAACAAUUGUCCGUAUAGAUUCAGGCAGUUUUAUCUCAGAUAGCUUAGUGAAGAUUGCCUCCACGCCGGUCUCUGGAUGGAUACAAGCAUGUUGUCGAUGUAGAAUACUGUCCACCUCUUUCAUCAGACGGAGCUCAUUUCCCUCCAGAAGCUGCUAAAGCCAAGGAGGCCGCACAAAGCUCGCCGAGCCCUCAGAACACACUUGAGUAUCAUGAAAUCGUGGAAGAGGAAAUGAUCCGCGGUCUGCAG
Molecule: non-coding RNA, 281 nt
Organism: Camelina sativa (false flax)
Lineage: Eukaryota; Viridiplantae; Streptophyta; Magnoliopsida; Brassicales; Brassicaceae
Source: RefSeq, a predicted model, not a curated record